RNAcentral lists this ribosomal RNA (479 nucleotides) under uncultured bacterium. RNAcentral describes it as "partial 16S ribosomal RNA". It matches the Rfam family "Bacterial small subunit ribosomal RNA", at positions 28 to 523 of the family's 1533-position model. The record is from RNAcentral.
GACGAACGCUGGCGGCGUGCCUAACACAUGCAAGUCGAGCGGAGUUAGUAGCAAUACUAACUUAGCGGCGGACGGGUGAGUAACGCGUGAGUAACCUGCCGAAAACAGGGGGGUAACACAGGGAAACUUGUGCUAAUACCGCAUAACAUCAUUGGAUGGCAUCAUCCGAUGAUCAAAGGAGUAAUCCGGUUUUUGAUGGACUCGCGUCUGAUUAGCUAGUUGGUGAGGUAACGGCUCACCAAGGCGACGAUCAGUAGCCGAACUGAGAGGUUGAUCGGCCACAUUGGGACUGAGACACGGCCCAGACUCCUACGGGAGGCAGCAGUGGGGAAUAUUGCGCAAUGGGGGAAACCCUGACGCAGCAACGCCGCGUGAAGGAUGAAGGCUUUCGGGUUGUAAACUUCUUUGAUAGGGGACGAACAAAAUGACGGUACCCUAAAAACAAGCCACGGCUAACUACGUGCCAGCCGCCGCGGUAA